GACAGAGGAUGCAAGCGUUAUCCGGAAUUAUUGGGCGUAAAGAGUACGUAGGCGGCGUAUCAAGUCAGGGGUUAAAUCCCGCAGCUUAACUGCGGAUCUGCCUUUGAAACUGGUCGGCUAGAGUAUGGUAGGGGUAGAGGGAAUUCCCGGUGUAGCGGUGAAAUGCGUAGAUAUCGGGAAGAACACCGGUGGCGAAGGCGGCUUACUGGACCAUAACUGACGCUGAGGUACGAAAGCGUGGGGAGCGAACAGG
Molecule: ribosomal RNA, 253 nt
Filed under: uncultured bacterium
Lineage: Bacteria
Description: partial 16S ribosomal RNA
Rfam family: Bacterial small subunit ribosomal RNA
Source: RNAcentral